CUAGUUCUACGGAACAACAGAGGGAAACUUCUGCUAAUACCGUAUACGCCCUAUGGGGGAAAGAUUUAUCGGAAUUAGAUGAGCCCGCGUAAGAUUAGCUAGUUGGUGAGGUAAUGGCUCACCAAGGCGACGAUCUUUAGCUGGUCUGAGAGGAUGAUCAGCCACACUGGGACUGAGACACGGCCCAGACUCCUACGGGAGGCAGCAGUGGGGAAUAUUGGACAAUGGGCGCAAGCCUGAUCCAGCCAUGCCGCGUGAGUGAUGAAGGCCUUAGGGUUGUAAAGCUCUUUCAGUAGGGAAGAUAAUGACGGUACCUACAGAAGAAGCCCCGGCUAACUUCGUGCCAGCAGCCGCGGUAAUACGAAGGGGGCUAGCGUUGUUCGGAUUUACUGGGCGUAAAGCGCACGUAGGCGGAUUGGUCAGUUAGAGGUGAAAUCCUGGAGCUCAACUCCAGAACUGCCUUUAAUACUGCCAGUCUCGAGUCCGGAAGAGGUGAGUGGAACU
Molecule: ribosomal RNA, 504 nt
Filed under: Alphaproteobacteria bacterium
Lineage: Bacteria; Pseudomonadati; Pseudomonadota; Alphaproteobacteria
Description: bacterial SSU rRNA
Rfam family: Bacterial small subunit ribosomal RNA
Source: RNAcentral